This 451-nucleotide ribosomal RNA is filed under the name uncultured organism. RNAcentral describes it as "partial 16S ribosomal RNA". It matches the Rfam family "Bacterial small subunit ribosomal RNA", at positions 330 to 797 of the family's 1533-position model. The record is from RNAcentral.
CGUACACUCCUACGGGAGGCAGCAGUGGGGAAUAUUGGACAAUGGGCGCAAGCCUGAUCCAGCCAUGCCGCGUGAGUGAUGAAGGCCCUAGGGUUGUAAAGCUCUUUCACCGGUGAAGAUAAUGACGGUAACCGGAGAAGAAGCCCCGGCUAACUUCGUGCCAGCAGCCGCGGUAAUACGAAGGGGGCUAGCGUUGUUCGGAUUUACUGGGCGUAAAGCGCACGUAGGCGGACUAUUAAGUCAGGGGUGAAAUCCCGGGGCUCAACCCCGGAACUGCCUUUGAUACUGGUAGUCUUGAGUUCGAGAGAGGUGAGUGGAAUUCCGAGUGUAGAGGUGAAAUUCGUAGAUAUUCGGAGGAACACCAGUGGCGAAGGCGGCUCACUGGCUCGAUACUGACGCUGAGGUGCGAAAGCGUGGGGAGCAAACAGGAUUAGAUACCCUUGUAGUCCCA